RNAcentral lists this transfer RNA (72 nucleotides) under bacterium. RNAcentral describes it as "tRNA-Thr". It matches the Rfam family "tRNA". From Rfam's summary of the family: Transfer RNA (tRNA) molecules are approximately 80 nucleotides in length. Their secondary structure includes four short double-helical elements and three loops (D, anti-codon, and T loops). The record is from RNAcentral.
GCCGGUGUAGUUCAGUGGUAGAACAUUUUCUUGGUAAGAAAAAGGUCGUGAGUUCGAUUCUCGCCACCGGCU